This 1497-nucleotide long non-coding RNA is filed under the name Salmo salar (Atlantic salmon). Its description in RNAcentral is "lncRNA (ENSSSAG00000086009.1)". The stretch from base 630 to 714 matches the Rfam family "mir-301 microRNA precursor family". Lineage: Eukaryota; Metazoa; Chordata; Actinopteri; Salmoniformes; Salmonidae. The record is from RNAcentral.
GGAUUGCAUAGUGACUGCAUAAGGAUUGUAUAGUGACUGCAUAAGGAUUGCAUAGUGACUGCAUAAGGAUUGCAUAAGGAUUGUAUAGUGAUUGCAUAAGGAUUGCAUAGUGACUGCAUAAGGAUUGCGUAGUGACUGCGUAAGGAUUGCAUAAGGAUUGUAUAGUGACUACAUAAGGAUUGCAUAAGGAUUGUAUAGUGGCUGCGUAAGGAUUGCAUAAGGAUUGCAUAGUGACUGCGUAAGGAUUGCAUAGUGACUGCAUAAGGAUUGCAUAGUGACUGCAUAAGGAUUGCAUAGUGACUGCAUAAGGAUUGCAUAGUGACUGCAUAAGGAUUGCAUAGUGACUGCAUAAGGAUUGCAUAGUGACUGCAUAGUGACUGCAUAAGGAUUGCAUAGUGACUGCAUAAGGAUUGCAUAAGGAUUGCAUAGUGACUGCAUAAGGAUUGCAUAAGGAUUGUAUAGUGAUUGCAUUUGGUCUAAUUUGUCAUUUAACUGAAACAGCUCUCCAACUACUAGGCUUCUUUACUCUACGUUUUGGCUUUUCAGUCAUUUUUGAUUUGUUUGUGUGUGUGUGUGCGUGCGUGCGUGCGUGUGUGCGUAUGUGUGUGUUCAUUAACCCCCAAGUGUGCAGAGGUCAGCUGCUUUGACGAUGUUGCACUACUGUUCCAUCGGCUGAAGCAGUGCAACAGUAUUGUCAUGGCAUCUGGCCUCCGCCACGGCUUCCCAUGCAAUCAGAUGCUAAGGACUGAGGGGCAUAUAUGAGGGGUAUAUAUGAGAGGUAUAUAUGAGGGGUAUAUAUGAGAGGUAUAUAUGAGGGGUAUAUAUGAGGGGUAUAUAUGAGGGGUAUAUAUGAGAGGUAUAUAUGAGAGGUAUAUAUGAGGGGUAUAUAUGAGGGGUAUAUAUGAGAGGUAUAUAUGAGAGGUAUAUAUGAGGGGUAUAUAUGAGGGCUAUAUAUGAGGGGCAUAUAUGAGGUGCAUAUAAUAAGCACAAGAGUGAGUCCUCCCUCACUGGGCCUAUAGGAUAAUUCUGCAGGCCUUCCCUCUCACUGGGCCUAUAUGCUAAUACUGCAGGCCUUCCUUCUCCCUGGGCCUAUAGGAUAAUACUGCAGGCCUUCCUUCUCACUGGGCCUAUAGGAUAAUACUGCAGGCCUUCCUUCUCCCUGGGCCUAUAGGAUAAUACUGCAGGCCUUCCUUCUCCCUGGGCCUAUAGGAUAAUACUGCAGGCCUUCCUUCUCACUGGGCCUAUAGGAUAAUACUGCAGGCCUUCCUUCUCACUGGGCCUAUAGGAUAAUACUGCAGGCCUUCCUUCUCCCUGGGCCUAUAGGAUAAUACUGCAGGCCUUCCUUCUCCCUGGGCCUAUAGGAUAAUACUGCAGGCCUUCCUUCUCACUGGGCCUAUAGGAUAAUACUGCAGGCCUUCCUUCUCCCUGGGCCUAUAGGAUAAUACUGCAGGCCUUCCUUCUCCCUGGGCCUAUAGGAUAAUACUGCAGGCCUUCCCU